This 1076-nucleotide ribosomal RNA is filed under the name Escherichia coli. RNAcentral describes it as "partial 23S ribosomal RNA". It matches the Rfam family "Bacterial large subunit ribosomal RNA", at positions 676 to 1751 of the family's 2925-position model. The record is from RNAcentral. Lineage: Bacteria; Pseudomonadati; Pseudomonadota; Gammaproteobacteria; Enterobacterales; Enterobacteriaceae.
ACCGAGUCUUAACUGGGCGUUAAGUUGCAGGGUAUAGACCCGAAACCCGGUGAUCUAGCCAUGGGCAGGUUGAAGGUUGGGUAACACUAACUGGAGGACCGAACCGACUAAUGUUGAAAAAUUAGCGGAUGACUUGUGGCUGGGGGUGAAAGGCCAAUCAAACCGGGAGAUAGCUGGUUCUCCCCGAAAGCUAUUUAGGUAGCGCCUCGUGAAUUCAUCUCCGGGGGUAGAGCACUGUUUCGGCAAGGGGGUCAUCCCGACUUACCAACCCGAUGCAAACUGCGAAUACCGGAGAAUGUUAUCACGGGAGACACACGGCGGGUGCUAACGUCCGUCGUGAAGAGGGAAACAACCCAGACCGCCAGCUAAGGUCCCAAAGUCAUGGUUAAGUGGGAAACGAUGUGGGAAGGCCCAGACAGCCAGGAUGUUGGCUUAGAAGCAGCCAUCAUUUAAAGAAAGCGUAAUAGCUCACUGGUCGAGUCGGCCUGCGCGGAAGAUGUAACGGGGCUAAACCAUGCACCGAAGCUGCGGCAGCGACGCUUAUGCGUUGUUGGGUAGGGGAGCGUUCUGUAAGCCUGUGAAGGUGUGCUGUGAGGCAUGCUGGAGGUAUCAGAAGUGCGAAUGCUGACAUAAGUAACGAUAAAGCGGGUGAAAAGCCCGCUCGCCGGAAGACCAAGGGUUCCUGUCCAACGUUAAUCGGGGCAGGGUGAGUCGACCCCUAAGGCGAGGCCGAAAGGCGUAGUCGAUGGGAAACAGGUUAAUAUUCCUGUACUUGGUGUUACUGCGAAGGGGGGACGGAGAAGGCUAUGUUGGCCGGGCGACGGUUGUCCCGGUUUAAGCGUGUAGGCUGGUUUUCCAGGCAAAUCCGGAAAAUCAAGGCUGAGGCGUGAUGACGAGGCACUACGGUGCUGAAGCAACAAAUGCCCUGCUUCCAGGAAAAGCCUCUAAGCAUCAGGUAACAUCAAAUCGUACCCCAAACCGACACAGGUGGUCAGGUAGAGAAUACCAAGGCGCUUGAGAGAACUCGGGUGAAGGAACUAGGCAAAAUGGUGCCGUAACUUCGGGAGAAGGCACGC